UACGUAGGGGGCAAGCGUUGUCCGGAAUCAUUGGGCGUAAAGAGCGUGUAGGCGGCCAGAAAAGUCCGCUGUGAAAACUCGAGGCUCAACUUCGAGCUGUCGGUGGAAACUUUCUGGCUAGAGUCCGGAAGAGGAGAACGGAAUUCCUGGUGUAGCGGUGAAAUGCGCAGAUAUCAGGAGGAACACCGGUGGCGAAGGCGGUUCUCUGGGCCUGUACUGACGCUGAGGAACGAAAGCGUGGGGAGCGAACAGG
Molecule: ribosomal RNA, 253 nt
Filed under: uncultured bacterium
Lineage: Bacteria
Description: partial 16S ribosomal RNA
Rfam family: Bacterial small subunit ribosomal RNA
Source: RNAcentral